RNAcentral lists this ribosomal RNA (329 nucleotides) under uncultured eukaryote. Its description in RNAcentral is "partial 18S ribosomal RNA". It matches the Rfam family "Eukaryotic small subunit ribosomal RNA", at positions 1470 to 1796 of the family's 1831-position model. The record is from RNAcentral.
CCCUUAGAUGUUCUGGGCCGCACGCGCGCUACACUGACGAUGUCAACGAGUCUCUCCUUGGCCGAAAGGUCUGGGUAAUCUUCUGAAACAUCGUCGUGCUGGGGAUAGAUCAUUGCAAUUUUUGGUCUUGAACGAGGAAUUCCUAGUAAGCGCGAGUCAUCAGCUCGCGUUGAUUACGUCCCUGCCCUUUGUACACACCGCCCGUCGCUACUACCGAUUGAAUGGUUUAGUGAGGACUCCUGAUUGGCGCCGCCGCCCCGGCAACGGAGCAGUGGACUGCCGAAAAGUUGUUCAAACUUGAUCAUUUAGAGGAAGUAAAAGUCGUAACA